AUAGUAUUUCCUCCGUUUCAAAAUUCUUGUCUUAUGUUUGUUUGAAAAUGGAUGUAUCUAAAUACUANNACGUGACUAGAUACAUUCAUAUUUAAACAAAUCUAAAACACAAUUUUUGAGACCGAGGGAGUAGUAC
Hordeum vulgare subsp. vulgare (domesticated barley) is the source of this 136-nucleotide non-coding RNA. NCBI's taxonomy places the organism in Eukaryota, Viridiplantae, Streptophyta, Magnoliopsida, Poales, Poaceae. The record is from Rfam.